This 2723-nucleotide long non-coding RNA is filed under the name Nicotiana tabacum (common tobacco). RNAcentral's name for it is "long non-coding RNA (NTAB_LNC009414)". The record is from RNAcentral. Lineage: Eukaryota; Viridiplantae; Streptophyta; Magnoliopsida; Solanales; Solanaceae.
CCCAUGUUGGCAUCUUUGACAAUUCUGGUCGGCAUCCUUGAUGCUAGGUAAGCUUAAGCUUCUGCCUUUGAGUACUUCAUAAGCUGGUGAACCAAUUGACACUGCUGACGAAAAUUCAUAAAAUAAUUGAAAGUACUACAACUAUAUCAUCCUCUUGAUUUACUCCAAUCCUGUAAGCAUUCAGCUGGUCUUCCAAAAUCUGUAAAACAGCUCUCUAAAAUCACUCGUAUUUUAAGUUCAAAUCUGCCAGCUUUAUAGAUUUUAUCUGUACUUAAGUUCUUUAUUUAUCAUUUACCAUUAAAAUGAGUUACAUAUGGCUGCAGUUGGGCAUAGAACUUAUUUUGUUACCAAAGUUUUGAACUUUAACACGGGAAAUUGAUAAUGAAGUCUCUCUUUCAUCUCUGGGUUAAAGCUCAAGCAGAUUAAAUUUGAUAUGAUCCAAUAAUAUAUUGUGUAGCCGUAGAAUUGUAAAAUUAUAGGAACCUCUAUGACUGUUAGAAUCUAUUAUCCCACCUUUCACAUGCCCCUUUCAUAUGUCGCACCCAGUAACCUUUUAAGGCCCAUCUCCUUCUUGUUUUGACCAAAGUACCAACAGCAAUAGGGGAACCGUUAUCUAAGGUUGAUAGAGGGCAUAUAAGUCCACCUUGUCUUUGAUAUGCGUCUAUUCUGCUUGGUGAUGUAUCAACUAAAAGUGGCUUCAAUUUAUGUUUAUUUUCAGCUUAACACCUUUAUAAAAAAUUUAUGUUUAGUUUUCAGCUAUUAUAUUACCUUUAUCAACAAAGAAUUUUAUGUUUAGUUUUCAGCUUUUGUGAGUUACCACCUCUCAGAUAUCCUGUAUUCUUCAAUUCAAGCAUGUGAAUCUAGAGCACCGGAUACACUAACUUUGUCAACUGUUAUUUAUUUCAUUUUUCUUUACUUUUCUGUUGUUUAUAGAAAUAGUUGAUGUCUUCAUAUCUCCGUUGGCCUCUUGUCAUUAUCCUUCUUCUGGAAUAUGCACUAGCGGCAUAUUUGUGUCUGUAUUACUCAACCUUGCCAAUUUUCUUCCUAUCUGUAUUUUGGGUACUAGAAUUUGCUUGCUUCAUUACUACACUGUUUGUGUAGACAAUUUUGUGUUCAAAUAUAGUUGGUCUUUUUCCCCCUGAAUCUCAAUGUUGUUGCUGCCUGCAUUUCAUGCUGGCAUCAUUCUAUAUUUCCUCCAUUUAUUUGGACAACCUCAGGGUUCUGCAGCACUUGCCAUCUUGACUUCAUUCUUGUUCCAUAGCUGUUUCUUUCAGGUUCCCUUUACAACAAGAUCUUCAAAAGUUAACCUGUUUUCAGAAUACUUUCUUCACAAACUGCGGCUAUGUAAGUACCUUUCUGGAGCCACUUUUUGUUUUUUUCCCCACAAAUAUUUGAUAGGAAGUUAGGAACUUUCUUUACAUGUGAAAACGCAAUUCAAGUGUUCUUGCCGACGAAAAAUGUGAAAUUACUACUGGAACUAGUCCUUUCAGAACAUCUAGGUCGGGAUAUUUGCUUACAACUUUUAUGUUGGACCAGUAAACUAAUAGUGUGAGAUGUAGGCAAAAAAACAAAAAAAAAAUCCUGAUAAAAGAUAUUUGUCUACAUCUCCCUCAAUUAGUUCCAACUGGUAUAACAUAAAGACUUUCUGGUUAUCCAAGUGCUAAUGUUGCUGAUCCUUUAUCAUUCUCAAUGCGUGCAAAAGUUCUCAAUCAAUGAUGUUUCCAGGAAGUUUAUGAAAACAAGUUGAACGAGUCUCACACAACCUUUAGUGCUGUUUACUGUUUUAAUUGAAUCUACUAUAAUGUUACCCACCUAUUGAAUGCAAUGUCUUCUAGUGCUGAUGGACUUAAUUAGUUGCCAUUGAAAAAUUUGUGACAGUGGGUUUUUGGAUACAUUAAUACAUUGAGAAUUUCUUUUGUUCUUUGGUCAACAACAACAACAACAACAUACCCAGUAAAAUCCCACUAGUGGGGUUUGGUGAGAGUAGAGUGUACGCAAACCCUAUCCCUACCCCUACCCCGAAAGGGUAGAGAGGAAAAAAAAAUAAAAAUUCUUUUUUCUUUGGUCUUCAUGGAGCAUGUUUCUUAUGCCUUACUAUUUACUGUAUUUAUUUUAUCGUUUUCUUCUUUUAAAGAUACGUGCCUUUGUGUUCUAGGUCUCCUUUAAGUACGCCGUACUUGUAUCAAUGCCUAACAGACACUAUAUUCAAACCCUUCAGGUGGACACACGAAGGUUGGGUCGAGGAAGGAAGAUUGGGUGGUGGAAGAAAGUGUACUAUCCUCAGUCCUGAAGCCAUGGGAUUCCAUUGUUUAAUAAACAUCAAGGUUCAAGGGACAAACAUCUCAUUAAUGCCUAACAAAGACAAACUACAUUCAAGCUGUUCAGGUGGAGGCACAAAUUGACUAGGUUGCAGAGGAAAUUGUGUUAUGCUCAUCCCUGAAGCAAUGUGAAUUCAUUUGCAAAGGGUUAAUUCACUAUCGAGAUUCAAGGGAGCAUAACGUAUGCACUACAGGCUAAGAUUAAAAAAAGUUUAUCUGCCUUCAAGCGUACAUUGAUGUGAUGACAAGUUUACUGUGCAAUUUGUGGAUCUUGUUACCGCUUCAGUCCCUAUAAUGUACAUCUGAGACGCAAUGCACGAGUCUCAGAAUGCGUCCUUGUCUUUGAUGUAUGUUGUACCAUAGUGGCAUAUUUUGCUAUGAUAUAUAUCAAUAUUAUUUUCAGCC